UGAGCAAUCUGCCCUUCACAUCGGAAUAACCAUUGGAAACGAUGGCUAAUACCGAAUAUGACUUCGGAUCGCAUGAUCUGAAGUGGAAAGCUCCGGCGGUGAAGGAUGAGCUCGCGGCCUAUCAGCUUGUUGGUGAGGUAACGGCCCACCAAGGCGACGACGGGUAGCCGGCCUGAGAGGGUGACCGGCCACACUGGGACUGAGACACGGCCCAGACCUNUACGGGAGG
Molecule: ribosomal RNA, 229 nt
Filed under: uncultured bacterium
Lineage: Bacteria
Description: partial 16S ribosomal RNA
Rfam family: Bacterial small subunit ribosomal RNA
Source: RNAcentral